AUACGGAGGGUGCAAGCGUUAAUCGGAAUUACUGGGCGUAAAGCGCGCGUAGGCGGAUAUUUAAGUCUCAUGUGAAAGCCCUGGGCUCAACCUGGGAACUGCAUGGGAUACUGGGUAUCUAGAAUACAGUAGAGGGUAGUGGAAUUUCAGGUGUAGCGGUGAAAUGCGUAGAGAUCUGAAGGAACAUCAGUGGCGAAGGCGACUACCUGGACUGAUAUUGACGCUGAGGUGCGAAAGCGUGGGGAGCAAACGGAAUUAGAUACCCCGGUAGUCC
Molecule: ribosomal RNA, 274 nt
Filed under: uncultured bacterium
Lineage: Bacteria
Description: partial 16S ribosomal RNA
Rfam family: Bacterial small subunit ribosomal RNA
Source: RNAcentral